RNAcentral lists this ribosomal RNA (253 nucleotides) under uncultured bacterium. Its description in RNAcentral is "partial 16S ribosomal RNA". It matches the Rfam family "Bacterial small subunit ribosomal RNA", at positions 524 to 776 of the family's 1533-position model. The record is from RNAcentral.
UACGUAGGCAGCAAGCGUUGUUCGGAGUUACUGGGCGUAAAGGGUGCGUAGGCGGUCCUAUAAGUAUGGUGUGAAAUCUCCCGGCUUAACUGGGAGGGUGCAUUAGAAACUGGAAUGCUAGAGGAUGGGAGAGGUAAGCGGAAUUCCUGGUGUAGCGGUGAAAUGCGUAGAUAUCAGGAGGAACACCUGUGGUGUAGACAGCUUACUGGACCAUUUCUGACGCUGAGACACGAAAGCGUGGGUAGCAAACAGG